Molecule: ribosomal RNA, 345 nt
Filed under: uncultured bacterium
Lineage: Bacteria
Description: bacterial SSU rRNA
Rfam family: Bacterial small subunit ribosomal RNA
Source: RNAcentral
CCAGACUCCUACGGGAGGCAGCAGUGGGGAAUAUUGCACAAUGGGGGAAACCCUGAUCCAGCGACGCCGCGUGAGUGAAGAAGUAUUUCGGUAUGUAAAGCUCUAUCAGCAGGGAAGAAAGAAAUGACGGUACCUGAGUAAGAAGCCCCGGCUAACUACGUGCCAGCAGCCGCGGUAAUACGUAGGGGGCAAGCGUUAUCCGGAAUUACUGGGUGUAAAGGGAGCGUAGACGGUAAUGCAAGUCUGGAGUGAAAGGCGGGGGCCCAACCCCCGGACUGCUCUGGAAACUGUGUAACUGGAGUGCAGGAGAGGCAGGCGGAAUUCCUGGGGUAGCGGUGAAAUGCG